AUUGAACGCUGGCGGAAUGCUUUACACAUGCAAGUCGAGCGGCAGCGCGGGGCAACCUGGCGGCGAGCGGCGAACGGGUGAGUAAUACAUCGGAACGUACCCAGUUGUGGGGGAUAGCCCGGCGAAAGCCGGAUUAAUACCGCAUACGACCGUGAGGGUGAAAGGGGGGAUCGCAAGACCUCUCGCAGUUGGAGCGGCCGAUGGCGGAUUAGCUAGUUGGUAGGGUAAAGGCCUACCAAGGCGACGAUCCGUAGCUGGUCUGAGAGGACGACCAGCCACACUGGAACUGAGACACGGUCCAGACUCCUACGGGAGGCAGGCAGUGGGGGAAUUUUGGACGAAUGGGGGCAACCCUGAUCCAGCCAUUCCGCGUGAGUGAAGAAGG
Molecule: ribosomal RNA, 385 nt
Filed under: uncultured bacterium
Lineage: Bacteria
Description: bacterial SSU rRNA
Rfam family: Bacterial small subunit ribosomal RNA
Source: RNAcentral